AGUGAACGCUGGCGGUAGGCCUAACACAUGCAAGUCGAACGGCAGCACAGUAAGAGCUUGCUCUUACGGGUGGCGAGUGGCGGACGGGUGAGGAAUGCAUCGGAAUCUACUUUUUCGUGGGGGAUAACGUAGGGAAACUUACGCUAAUACCGCAUACGACCUACGGGUGAAAGCAGGGGAUCUUCGGACCUUGCGCGAUUGAAUGAGCCGAUGUCGGAUUAGCUAGUUGGCGGGGUAAAGGCCCACCAAGGCGACGAUCCGUAGCUGGUCUGAGAGGAUGAUCAGCCACACUGGAACUGAGACACGGUCCAGACUCCUACGGGAGGCAGCAGUGGGGAAUAUUGGACAAUGGGCGCAAGCCUGAUCCAGCCAUACCGCGUGGGUGAAGAAGGCCUUCGGGUUGUAAAGCCCUUUUGUUGGGAAAGAAAAGCAGCAGGUUAAUACCCCGCUGUUCUGACGGUACCCAAAGAAUAAGCACCGGCUAACUUCGUA
RNAcentral lists this ribosomal RNA (492 nucleotides) under uncultured bacterium. RNAcentral describes it as "partial 16S ribosomal RNA". It matches the Rfam family "Bacterial small subunit ribosomal RNA", at positions 29 to 507 of the family's 1533-position model. The record is from RNAcentral.